UACGUAGGGUGCAGGCGUUAAUCGGAAUUACUGGGCGUAAAGCGUGCGCAGGCGGUUUGCUAAGACAGGUGUGAAAUCCCCGGGCUUAACCUGGGAACUGCGCUUGUUACUGGCAAGCUAGAGUGUGGCAGAGGGGGGUGGAAUUCCACGUGUAGCAGUGAAAUGCGUAGAUAUCAAGCGGAACACCGGUGGCGAAGGCGGCCUUCUGGACGAUGACUGACGCUGAGACGCGAAAGCGUGGGGAGCAAACAGG
RNAcentral lists this ribosomal RNA (253 nucleotides) under uncultured bacterium. Its description in RNAcentral is "partial 16S ribosomal RNA". It matches the Rfam family "Bacterial small subunit ribosomal RNA", at positions 524 to 776 of the family's 1533-position model. The record is from RNAcentral.